GUGGGGAAUCUUCCGCAAUGGACGAAAGUCUGACGGAGCAACGCCGCGUGAGUGAAGAAGGUUUUCGGAUCGUAAAGCUCUUUCGUUAGGGACGAACGUGCUCUUUGUGAAUAAUGAGGAGUAAUGACGGUACCUAAAUAAGAAGCCACGGCUAACUACGUGCCAGCAGCCGCGGUAAUACGUAGGUGGCAAGCGUUGUCCGGAAUUAUUGGGCGUAAAGCGCGCGCAGGCGGGAUAUCAAGUCUGUCGUAAAAGUGCGAGGCUCAACCUCGUGAGGGGACAGAAACUGGUAUUCUUGAGUGUCGGAGAGGAAAGUGGAAUUCCAAGUGUAGCGGUGAAAUGCGUAGAGAUUUGGAAGAACACCAGUGGCGAAGGCGACUUUCUGGACGAUGUCUGACGCUGAGGCGCGAAAGCUAGGGGAGCGAACGGGAUUAGAAACCCGGGUAGUCC
This 450-nucleotide ribosomal RNA is filed under the name uncultured bacterium. RNAcentral describes it as "partial 16S ribosomal RNA". It matches the Rfam family "Bacterial small subunit ribosomal RNA", at positions 354 to 796 of the family's 1533-position model. The record is from RNAcentral.